Oryctolagus cuniculus (rabbit) is the source of this 768-nucleotide long non-coding RNA. RefSeq lists it as uncharacterized. The record is from RefSeq and is a predicted model, not a curated record. Lineage: Eukaryota; Metazoa; Chordata; Mammalia; Lagomorpha; Leporidae.
UGCGCAGUGUAUCUGGGCAGGUUGGCGGGUUUGGGUUGGCGGAGCCGUGGCAGCAGACGGGGCGGCCGCUCGCUCUGCUGGCUCCGGCGUGGCCUGCACCUCACGCCCUGUGGAAAGGAGCCGGUGGGCGGAGGUUCCCCGGCACAGGUGGGAGCAGUCUUUCGCGAGGAGCACGCGUGGGGACAGCGAAGGGCCGGCGCCUCGCGCCCUCGCACGGCCGCGCUGAGCCGAGCAGCUUCUGUCCACAGAGCGUCGGGGCCGCGCGGCCAUGCGCCCCGUCGCCAUUGCGCCCCGCCUCCUGCUGGCCUGCAGCCUGGCCCUCGGGCCCCUGCUGGCAGUCUCCUGGGAGAUUCAGAUGAGUGACCUAGAGGAGAAGGAUGUUGAUGAAUUCAGUUCCAGUGGUUUUAAAUGCCCAACUUGUAUUGCAGUACAGGGAAGAAAAUGUCAUGUAGAAUUCAAAUGGUGUGCAGCAGAUCAAAUAAACUGUUUUGAAUUCUUGGGCAUCAUAAACACAGGUAUUAGCAACAUGACUAUUGAAGUGAAGAAGUGCAUACGAGCAGAACUAUGUGAAGAGAAGAUAACUUAUUAUGUGGGUUUUCCAGUUACUAAUGGGACUAGGAAUUGCAAAUCAGCCAUCAAAAAUGGGGCCAGAGGCAGACCAGCAGCUCCCAUCUUCCUUGUUCUCUUCCUGGGGAAGCUGCUUCACUGAGCUCCUGCAAGGGCCCAGCCACCUGCAUUUGUGAAUUAAACUUGCAUUGUUUGUUUAUA